Molecule: non-coding RNA, 1592 nt
Organism: Odocoileus virginianus texanus
Lineage: Eukaryota; Metazoa; Chordata; Mammalia; Artiodactyla; Cervidae
Source: RefSeq, a predicted model, not a curated record
UUCACUGACGAUGAGUCCUGAUCCCCAAAGUGAAAUCCAUUGCUGUAUAACAGUGCUGGAAAGCGAAAGACUAUAUUUUCCCACCCACUUCAGCUGAAGUUCCAGCCUUUUCUAUCCUCUGAUUGACCCCUUGUGAAGAACUGGAGUCACACAGUUGUCACUCAUGAGAGAGGUCACACACUCAAGCAAAUAACAGAUCUUUCAUUUAAGUGACGGCACUUCAAAGUGAAUAUGGGUAUUCUCAACUCCUCAUAUCUUAAAAAAGAAAAAAAAAAAAGGAAGAAUUAAUGGGACUGGAAAUUUUAAAACAACAGAUGUACUAAAAGUGUGAUUAGUGCCUGAGUUAGACAUACGGGGGAGUGUCACCACUUUAUGUAGCUUUGGCUGAGCACUGAUUGUAUCGGAGAGGAACUGGAGCCCCAGAGUCAGGCUGAGACCAUCUCUAGGAAAUGACUGCUGAUUUCCCUUGGAGUGCAAGAGAUAAGGCGCUGUUUCUCUCUAAACAUAGCUCUCUGACUGCUCUGUGGUUAACUAGAUGCCCUGCUAAGAAUUGUGGGUAAUUCAUUGAAGGAUGAAUAUUGAAACGCGCUGUGCGGUGAGGGAGGAAAUCUUGCUCCCAAACCCUGGCUGCUUUAUUUCGAAGGAAUAGAGAAGUGGAGAGGGACCAGCUCUCUACAUCCUCCACUAAAGGGCCAACACACAUGAGCUGAACUCCAGAAUUCAAGAUCAGAAAGAGACUCCCAAUAGUACCACUUGGGCUAAAGUGACAUUUCUUCCAUCUGGCCCCAGUUUUUUUUUUUUCUUCCCCUCCACAGAGCUACAUACUUCAGUCAUGACGCCUUAAGCAAGAAAAUAACUUCUUCAGACAGUGGCUGAGAUAAGAAAGACAAGGCAAAGCUUAGUCCUGAGUACAAUGGUGUGCAUGUUGAUAUCACUGAGUUAUGAACUAUUUCCUUUUAAUCCAGUUUCAAAAGAUAACUUCCUCCAUAUGCAAUUAAUUCCACAUAUAACUACAAGGAACUGCAUAUUUUCGAACAGUUGUGUCAUCAUUAUGAAUGUUUAAACAAUCUCUGUAGUCUCUUUCCCACAAACUGAUUUAACAUGUAUAUAAAGAGGCUUUCGGAAUGAGCACUUUACAUUUGCUUCUCAAACUUCAGCGUCUGUUUUUAGUAAAUAUUGAAGAUGAAACUUCCCCCAUUCAUGCCUGGAGCACUGGCCAAUUGCAACUCAGGAAUGCAGUUCUUGGGCUUUUCAUGAAUAAAAUUCUCUGGUUGUGAACCUAGUCUUUCUCAGGCCUUGUCAACAGGACCAAAACUGAAUGGAUGUAGGAUAAAGCACUCAUGGCAAGUGGCUGAGCUGGCCACAGAUUAUCCUAAUUAAUAUCAAGAGAGCAUGAGCCACACAGACCUGUUCAAGUCCUGACUCUGCUACAGAUGGGGGACUGUGUAUCCCAGUGUGUCCAUAGUGCUCCAGUGUAACUAUGAAUAGUGGCCCUUUCAAAAAUGUCCCAGUUCGGGACAUUCCUAGUGGUCCCGUGGUUGGGAAUCCAUCUGCCAGUGCAGGGAAGAUGGGUUUGAUCCCUGAUCUGGGAA